Molecule: transfer RNA, 72 nt
Filed under: Camelus bactrianus (Bactrian camel)
Lineage: Eukaryota; Metazoa; Chordata; Mammalia; Artiodactyla; Camelidae
Also listed under: 2 other names
Rfam family: tRNA
About the family: Transfer RNA (tRNA) molecules are approximately 80 nucleotides in length. Their secondary structure includes four short double-helical elements and three loops (D, anti-codon, and T loops).
Source: Rfam by way of RNAcentral
GAGGGUAUCGCUCAGUGGUAGAGUGCAUGCAUAGCAUGCUCGAGGUCCUGGGUUCAAUUCCCAGUACUGCCA